This 112-nucleotide non-coding RNA is filed under the name Blautia hansenii. RNAcentral describes it as "FMN riboswitch (RFN element)". It matches the Rfam family "FMN riboswitch aptamer (RFN element)". Rfam says of the family: The RFN element is a highly conserved domain that is found frequently in the 5'-untranslated regions of prokaryotic mRNAs that encode for flavin mononucleotide (FMN) biosynthesis and transport proteins. This element is a metabolite-dependent riboswitch that directly binds FMN in the absence of proteins. The record is from RNAcentral. Lineage: Bacteria; Bacillati; Bacillota; Clostridia; Lachnospirales; Lachnospiraceae.
UUCUUCGGGGCAGGGUGCAAUUCCCUACCGGCGGUUAUAGUCCGCGAGCCGUAUAAAACGGUUGAAUUGGUGCAAUUCCAAUACCGACAGUAUAGUCUGGAUGAGAGAAGAA